Molecule: ribosomal RNA, 486 nt
Filed under: uncultured bacterium
Lineage: Bacteria
Description: partial 16S ribosomal RNA
Rfam family: Bacterial small subunit ribosomal RNA
Source: RNAcentral
GAUGAACGCUGGCGGCGUGCCUAAUACAUGCAAGUCGAACGCUGGAAAUCUAGCUUGCUAGAUUGAAGGAGUGGCGAACGGGUGAGUAAUACAUAAGCAACCUACCCACGAAGACUGGGAUAAUCUCUGGAAACGGGGACUAAUACCGGAUAGGUAAUCGGAAGGCAUCUUCUGAUUAUUAAAGGUUAAAAACACUGGUGGAUGGGCUUAUGGCGCAUUAGUUAGUUGGUGAGGUAACGGCCCACCAAGACGAUGAUGCGUAGCCGGCCUGAGAGGGUGAACGGCCACAUUGGGACUGAGACACGGCCCAGACUCCUACGGGAGGCAGCAGUAGGGAAUUUUCGGCAAUGGGGGAAACCCUGACCGAGCAACGCCGCGUGAGUGAUGACGGCCUUCGGGUUGUAAAGCUCUGUUGUAAGGGAAGAACGGUAGAUAGAGAAUAUCUAAAUGACGGUACUUUACCAGAAAGCCACGGCUAACUACGUG